CACUCCUACGGGAGGCAGCAGUGGGGAAUAUUGGACAAUGGGCGCAAGCCUGAUCCAGCCAUGCCGCGUGAGUGAUGAAGGCCCUAGGGUUGUAAAGCUCUUUCACCGGUGAAGAUAAUGACGGUAACCGGAGAAGAAGCCCCGGCUAACUUCGUGCCAGCAGCCGCGGUAAUACGAAGGGGGCUAGCGUUGUUCGGAUUUACUGGGCGUAAAGUGCACGUAGGCGGACUAUUAAGUCAGGGGUGAAAUCCCGGGGCUCAACCCCGGAACUGCCUUUGAUACUGGUAGUCUUGAGUUCGAGAGAGGUGAGUGGAAUUCCGAGUGUAGAGGUGAAAUUCGUAGAUAUUCGGAGGAACACCAGUGGCGAAGGCGGCUCACUGGCUCGAUACUGACGCUGAGGUGCGAAAGCGUGGGGAGCAAACAGGAUUAGAAACCCCAGUAGUCCCAUGAU
RNAcentral lists this ribosomal RNA (451 nucleotides) under uncultured organism. Its description in RNAcentral is "partial 16S ribosomal RNA". It matches the Rfam family "Bacterial small subunit ribosomal RNA", at positions 334 to 801 of the family's 1533-position model. The record is from RNAcentral.